GACAGCGAUACACCGUCAACACAUCCGAUCUCAUCUAAUCUAGGAAGCUAACCAGGGUCAGGCCUGGUUAGUACUCAGAUGGAGGACCGCACGGGAAUACAGGGUGCCUUAGGCU
Molecule: ribosomal RNA, 115 nt
Filed under: Propithecus coquereli (Coquerel's sifaka)
Lineage: Eukaryota; Metazoa; Chordata; Mammalia; Primates; Indriidae
Source: RNAcentral